Molecule: non-coding RNA, 118 nt
Organism: Apodospora peruviana
Lineage: Eukaryota; Fungi; Ascomycota; Sordariomycetes; Sordariales; Lasiosphaeriaceae
Source: the annotation of a GenBank genome assembly
GCCCGCAUGGCUCAGUGGUAGAGCGCAUCACUAGUAAGUAUUCAUGUUGUAUUACAUCUACAAAGAUGUAAACAUUUGUACAAUGAUGAGGUCGUCAGUUCGAUUCUGGCUGUGGGCA